This 1292-nucleotide long non-coding RNA is filed under the name Olea europaea subsp. europaea. The record is from RNAcentral. Lineage: Eukaryota; Viridiplantae; Streptophyta; Magnoliopsida; Lamiales; Oleaceae.
UUCUACAUCACUUUUCAGAAUCAAUCCUCGGAUCAGCAACAAUUCAUUGUUUCAGUCGGGGAAAUCGCUUUUGAAAGAAGAAUUUAAACCUAGUUGAUUACUAUUCUCGUGUUGCCUUUUACAACUCUAAUACGAUGGAAUGGCUUGUGUUCGGAUCAACUUUCCAUUUAACCUCGUCUUCUUUCUUCUGAUCAUCUUGGUCAACCUUCCAAGGUCAUCCAUUGAUCCCAGUAAGCAUCCUUUCCCUUCACUUUCCUUUGGUUGGGUAGAAAACAAGAUUAAUUUGUCAGAAAAAGAUAACAAAAACAGUCAAGUUUAAUAAAUUUUCUGUAACGAUGAUAAAAGUACAUGAAUCGAUUCAUUGGUGCAGGCCUGCCAGGACUAGCAGCCACCUAUGGUUUGAUUUAAAUGUUCUCCAAGCAUGGGUUUGCAAUGUAGAGAACAAAAUGAUCUCCGUGGAAAGAGUUCUUCAGUUAACUAAAAUACCCUGUGAAGCUCCACUAGUUCUUGACAAUUGCAGACCAGAAACUGAUUGGCCGUUCGUUACUUACUGCAACAUCAAAAACAGUCUAUUAUUAGAAGAUAAAUAUAUAGAAAUUUCAAUUUUUUCACUCCUAAAACUCAGAAAGUCUGGCAAGCAUGAAUUUUCAAAUUUCAUUGCAGCAGAAGGACGCAAGUGAGUCAAGCAACCAAAACAAUUCUUCCAAUUUCUGGGCUUGAAUCAAUGUGUAUAAAUUUUACAUUUGUCAAGCAGAAAUGGAAAACUUCUUGUGUGAAUUCAUCUCAUGCUUUCUUGGAGAAGAAUAGAGCAAUCGCAUUCUACGUGAAGAAACCGUGCUUCUCUCUUGUUAUUUGCAGCUCCAAGAAAAUGAGUAGAUGGGUGAUGCCUGAGGUAAAUCAUCUUACAUUUCUUUACCAUCAAUUUAUAUUUUCUUAAGGCCCUUGUCAAUUUGGAAUUAUUCAGUACUUGAAGAGAAGAUUUGAACUUGGGCUGGUGUUAGAUUACAUUUAAAUAAAUAAAUGUUUACACCUUCUAAAUGAUAGAAUUAAACCAAUCAUAUAUUGUAGUACCUUAAAUUAUCUUCCUCUACUAAAUGUAAACUUGGAGUAUCUUUUCGUUUAUUGAAACAUUCCAUACUCUCCCUUCUGCAAUUUGGUAUAUUUAGCUUACUGUUUUUCAAUUAAAUAAUUUAUAGUUGUGGAAUUUCAGGCUUUUUCUAUAUGCCUAUAAAAUAUGAAUAAAGUAGUCAGAUAGACUAAAAACAGGGAUUUAAAGACAGACUGAUUUGGCA